AGUAGUGCGAGCCGCGACCGGCGCCCGGGGACGGCGGCCGGACCGGCUCCGUGCUCUGUGACCGGAACGCAUCGAGUCAGACGUGUGUGACGAGGCUUAUCGACCGCGCGGGGCCCCUAUAAUCCAGUGAGUUGUGUUCGUGCGAGUUCGAGUUCCUGUGCGGGCUCUGUGUGGCCAUCGCAGCCGGGUUCGGUGGAGGUGGCGGCUCCAUUUUACUGAAGGAUCUCACCUAUCCGAUAAACUUGCCACGCCCCAACAGUGCCGUUAUGUAAAGUAUCAACGACGUGGAAGACAUCGCCGCAGCGAAAAGACAUUUCCCCAUCAGUCGGC
Bombyx mandarina (wild silkworm) is the source of this 330-nucleotide long non-coding RNA. The record is from RefSeq and is a predicted model, not a curated record. Lineage: Eukaryota; Metazoa; Arthropoda; Insecta; Lepidoptera; Bombycidae.